This 529-nucleotide ribosomal RNA is filed under the name Brevundimonas sp. KAs5-6. RNAcentral describes it as "bacterial SSU rRNA". It matches the Rfam family "Bacterial small subunit ribosomal RNA", at positions 55 to 630 of the family's 1533-position model. Lineage: Bacteria; Pseudomonadati; Pseudomonadota; Alphaproteobacteria; Caulobacterales; Caulobacteraceae. The record is from RNAcentral.
AUGCAAGUCGAACGAACUCUUCGGAGUUAGUGGCGGACGGGUGAGUAACACGUGGGAACGUGCCUUUAGGUUCGGAAUAACUCAGGGAAACUUGUGCUAAUACCGAAUGUGCCCUUCGGGGGAAAGAUUUAUCGCCUUUGGAGCGGCCCGCGUCUGAUUAGCUAGUUGAUGAGGUAAAGGCUCACCAAGGCGACGAUCAGUAGCUGGUCUGAGAGGAUGAUCAGCCACAUUGGGACUGAGACACGGCCCAAACUCCUACGGGAGGCAGCAGUGGGGAAUCUUGCGCAAUGGGCGAAAGCCUGACGCAGCCAUGCCGCGUGAAUGAUGAAGGUCUUAGGAUUGUAAAAUUCUUUCACCGGGGACGAUAAUGACGGUACCCGGAGAAGAAGCCCCGGCUAACUUCGUGCCAGCAGCCGCGGUAAUACGAAGGGGGCUAGCGUUGCUCGGAAUUACUGGGCGUAAAGGGAGCGUAGGCGGACAUUUAAGUCAGGGGUGAAAUCCCGGGGCUCAACCUCGGAAUUGCCUUUGA